Molecule: ribosomal RNA, 273 nt
Filed under: uncultured bacterium
Lineage: Bacteria
Description: partial 16S ribosomal RNA
Rfam family: Bacterial small subunit ribosomal RNA
Source: RNAcentral
GACGAACCGUGCGAACGUUGUUCGGAAUCACUGGGCUUAAAGGGCGCGUAGGCGGGCUGUCAAGUCUGGGGUGAAAUCCCACGGCUCAACCGUGGAACUGCCUCAGAUACUGACGGCCUCGAGGGAGGUAGGGGCGUGCGGAACUGUAGGUGGAGCGGUGAAAUGCGUUGAUAUCUACAGGAACUCCGGUGGCGAAAGCGGCGCGCUGGACCUCUUCUGACGCUGAGGCGCGAAAGCUAGGGGAGCAAACGGGAUUAGAAACCCCCGUAGUCC